Molecule: ribosomal RNA, 483 nt
Filed under: uncultured bacterium
Lineage: Bacteria
Description: SSU rRNA
Rfam family: Bacterial small subunit ribosomal RNA
Source: RNAcentral
AGAGCGAACGCUGGCGGCGUGCUUAACACAUGCAAGUCGAACGAGGUCUGUAGCAAUACAGAUACUCGUGGCGAACGGGUGCGUAACACGUGGAUAACCUUCCUUCAGGUGGGGAAUAACCCAGUGAAAAUUGGGCUAAUACCGCAUAACAUGACGAUGCCACAUGGUGUUGUCUUCAAAGGCGCAAGUCGCCAGAAGAGGGAUCCGCGGCCGAUUAGCUAGUUGGCGAGGUAAUGGCUCACCAAGGCAAUGAUCGGUAGCCGGACUGAGAGGUUGGCCGGCCACACUGGAACUGAGACACGGUCCAGACUCCUACGGGAGGCAGCAGUGGGGAAUCUUGCACAAUGGACGAAAGUCUGAUGCAGCAACGCCGCGUGGGGAUGAAGCUUUUCGGAGUGUAAACCCUUUCGACCCGGAAGAAAGCCCGCAAGGGUUUGACGGUACGGGUAUAAGAAGCCCGGCUAACUACGUGCCAGCAGCCGC